AGCAGCCGCGGUAAUUCCAGCUCCAAUAGCGUAUAUUAAAGUUGUUGCAGUUAAAAAGCUCGUAGUUGAAUUUCGGGAUCAGACUGUCGGUCGUGCCUCGGUACGCACUGGCAUUAUUGGUUCCUACCUUCUGAAGAACCGCGAUGUCAUUAAUUUGGUGUCGCGGGGAAUCAGGACUGUUACUUUGAAAAAAUUAGAGUGUUUAAAGCAGGCUUACGCUUGAAUACAUUAGCAUGGAAUAAUGAAAUAGGACGUUUGAUUCUAUUUUGUUGGUUUCUAGGAUCGACGUAAUGAUUAAUAGGGAUAGUUGGGGGCAUUAGUAUUCAAUUGUCAGAGGUGAAAUUCUUGGAUUUAUUGAAGACUAACUACUGCGAAAGCAUUUGCCAAGGAUGUUUUCAUUAAUCAAGAACGAAAGUUAGGGGAUCGAAGACGAUCAGAUACCGUCGUAGUCUUAACCAUAAACUAUGCCGACUAGGGAUCGGAUGAUGUUA
RNAcentral lists this ribosomal RNA (491 nucleotides) under uncultured Glomus. RNAcentral's name for it is "SSU rRNA". It matches the Rfam family "Eukaryotic small subunit ribosomal RNA", at positions 569 to 1065 of the family's 1831-position model. Lineage: Eukaryota; Fungi; Glomeromycota; Glomeromycetes; Glomerales; Glomeraceae. The record is from RNAcentral.